RNAcentral lists this ribosomal RNA (301 nucleotides) under uncultured bacterium. RNAcentral's name for it is "partial 16S ribosomal RNA". It matches the Rfam family "Bacterial small subunit ribosomal RNA", at positions 509 to 809 of the family's 1533-position model. The record is from RNAcentral.
CAGUCGCCACGGUAAUACGGAGGGUGCAAGCGUUAAUCGGAAUUACUGGGCGUAAAGCGUGCGCAGGCGGUUCGUUAAGACAGAUGUGAAAUCCCCGGGCUUAACCUGGGAACUGCAUUUGUGACUGGCGAGCUAGAGUAUGGCAGAGGGGGGUAGAAUUCCACGUGUAGCAGUGAAAUGCGUAGGGAUGUGGAGGAAUACCGAUGGCGAAGGCAGCCCCCUGGGCCAAUACUGACGCUCACGCACGAAAGCGUGGGGAGCAAACAGGAUUAGAUACCCCUGUAGUCCCUGUCUCUUAUAA